RNAcentral lists this transfer RNA (128 nucleotides) under Crassvirales sp. Its description in RNAcentral is "tRNA-Thr". It matches the Rfam family "tRNA". Rfam says of the family: Transfer RNA (tRNA) molecules are approximately 80 nucleotides in length. Their secondary structure includes four short double-helical elements and three loops (D, anti-codon, and T loops). Further hydrogen bonds mediate the characteristic L-shaped molecular structure. tRNAs have two regions of fundamental functional importance: the anti-codon, which is responsible for specific mRNA codon recognition, and the 3' end, to which the tRNAs corresponding amino acid is attached (by aminoacyl-tRNA synthetases). tRNAs cope with the degeneracy of the genetic code in two manners: having more than one tRNA (with a specific anti-codon) for a particular amino acid; and 'wobble' base-pairing, i.e. permitting non-standard base-pairing at the 3rd anti-codon position. Lineage: Duplodnaviria; Heunggongvirae; Uroviricota; Caudoviricetes; Crassvirales. The record is from RNAcentral.
GGGGGAGUAGCUAAAUUGGUUACAAUACUCUGGCUGUUAUUCUCUGGAAGCAGUAGUGUUAGCAAAGAGUUACUUCAAGCAUUCAUCUGGUAAAUGAAAGUAUAUUGGUUCGAGUCCAGUCUCCCCCG